CAUGUCUCGUGUAUAAAUAUACAAUUGACUUUGGUGUUGAUCUUGCAUCCUGUGAUCAGAUCUUCUGAAGACCUACCACUUAUUUACUCACUCAAUCAGUAAGUGGUGAAUUUAAAUGCUGAAACAGUACUACUCAACAUACCUUCUGUGAGUCAACUGUUAUGAGCAACACCUGGAUCUCAUUAGAAAUGCAGAAUACGAGGUCCCAUCCAAGACUCAGUGAGUAAGAAUUUCCAGAGUUGAGCCCAGGACUGUCUACCUGCUUUAACAAGCCCUCCAACAGAAUCUCCAUGUACUAGAUUUCGAGAUGUGCUAGGCUGAAGUAUGUGCAUCCUUCAGAAAUCAAAAUCUUCUGGAUUCAUUUUACAUUUAAUCGUCCUUCACUAUUUCCCUUUAGUACUAUCUCUACUAGAAAGGUAAGUUUUUUAAUAAUUUUCCCUUUGCCAGAGAUUCCUACAAGCCCAAAUUUCUCCCACAGCCUUAGAAACACCUUUGUUAAUUCUUGGGUCUUCUCCAUCUAAUUUGUAUAAUUUUACGUCUGAUACUCUCCAUCCUUUCACACCAAAUUAGUCCCUAUGGUUCCAGCUUCCAAUGGGUGACCCACAUCUCUAAGAUCUGAUACCAUUUGCUCAUUUUGUCCUUGUUUUAGUUCUUUGCCAUGAAUGCUUAUCACUAGUUGCCACACUGUCCACUGUUCGGCUUAUCAAUUCUUGCAUCACCUGUAUAACUCAUUCCCUCCAUUAAACUCUGCCAUUUUAAAAUACUUCAUUAUUUUUCUUUUACAGUUUGAACACUUACUGAGGAAUGUGCUAAAUAACUUUUUUCUUCUAUCCUGUAUCUUUCCUCUUUACUUUCCCUCUUAUCUGUUCUAGCACUUUCAAAAAUCUGGACUUUGGGUUAAUUUUUUUCAUACUCUGAUUCUACCACUUUUUAUCUAUGUGACCUUGAACAAGUUACCAUCCAGAACCAGUUUCCGCAACCGUAAAAUAGGGAUAAAAUUAUCUACAUCUUAAAAAGCAAUGUAAGAAUAUAGUGGUUAAGCUUAGUGGGGUGCAUUUAGAGAAAACAGGCAGAACUCAAACCCUGCUUUCAUCCAUUUCUAGCCGUGUGAUUUAAGCAAGUAAUUUGAUAUGUGUCAGCCUCAGUUUCCUCCAUAAAAUGUGUAUAAUUAUUGUAAAACUCCCAUAGACUAUUUUGAGGACUAAAGGAGAUAACAGAUAUAAAACAUUUAGUAGGAUAUCUGGUACCUGCCAAAUACUCAAUACUUACUACUACCAUCACCAUCACCAUCAUUAUCAUAAUUAUCAUGGUAAUUAUAUACUAGAGAUCACAAUGAAGGUGGUACCCUCUUUCAUUUUCUCCUAAACUGUUUUCUCUCUCCCAUCUACUUCUUUUUAACCAUUUCUAUUUCUAUUCUUCUGAACUACUCAGAAAAAUUGUAACAAAGUUGGCUUACAUUUUUAAACUUAUCUAAUGAAGCUCUUUUCUACAUAAUUUUGAAAUCAGGCAAAACAAAAGAUAGUACAAUAUAUCCAUAAUGCCACUAUUCAUAGUCCAAAAUAGAUGCCUAUUAUAGUAGAAGGAGAAAUAACCUGUAAUAUAUUCACAUAGUAGAAUAUUAUACAGCAAUGAGAAUGAAUGCAUACAACUACAUGCAACAAUAUAAACAAAUCUCAGAAAUAUAAUGUUGAGCCAAAGCAACUAGAUAAAAGAGAGGACAUAGUGAAUGAUUCCAUUCACACAAAGUUAAAAAACAGGCAAACCAAUCUAUGAUGUGAGAAGUCAGAAUAAUGAUUAACCUUGGUGACUGGAAGACAGUAUACAGGAUGACCUCUGGGGAGCUGGUCAUCAUCUGUUCCUUGACCCAACUGCUUAUCACACAAGUGUACUCGCUUAGUGAGAACUCAUAUAUCUGACCGCUCAUAUCUGUACACAUUUAUCUAUAUAUGUUUUAACUCAACAGAGAAAAAAAGAGCAAGUGGACUAAUUAUUCUUUAAUAUUACCUCCAGAAAAAAUGCAACAACUUUAUAUUUAUGGCCAUAAAAUUAUUUUCCCUUUCAAUAUAGGAACUCUUUCAAUAGGAACAAAAUAUACUUCUCGUUGACUACAGGGCUACUGCUGAAUUUCUAUUUAAUUCUGUGGCAUGUGAAUGAAAUCAGUAACAAUUGUCAUUAAUUGCCUCUCACAGUUCUUAGGAAAAAUAAUAAUUGUGUAAAAUGAUUGGAGUAUGGCAAAAAAACAUUGAACUUCAAGAUGGCAAAAAGCAGUUUCUUGUCCCAGUUCUUUUGUUGUCCUAUUAAAUGCUUCAUGAGAACACUUGUGCUUGAGUUUAUCUGUAACGUAUUAAUGAUGAUAUCAUAUGACUACCUGUCUGGAGCUGUCAACAGAAACAAAUGAGGUGGUCCACGUACGAACUUUUUGAAAGAAGGUAUGAAAUCGUGAAUACAUCACACCACCCAGAAAUCCCCCAUGGUGCGCUUUACAAUGCAACAGAACCUCAUAGUUCCCAUUGUAUACUCUUUCAAUUAUAAUAGAUGAAAUACUUGAAAAUGCUUGGUAGAAAUACCAUAGAAGUUAUAAUGACCUUUGCAACAAAAGGAGUAAAUCUAGUGGCAUUUUAGAGUUUUCUUAUAAUUGGAUGUUUUCUUUUUUUUUUUUUUUUUUUCUAUUUUGACCUUAGUUUCCCCAGUGUAUGCCAUUUUUAGGCUCCAAUAGUUCAGAGAAACUGCAAUUUCACUGAGACUUGACCUACAGAAUCAGAGAUUCAGGAUUCUAGUCACUUUGCUGAGAUGGAUCCAAGGUAUAGAAAGAAGUCAGAUGUCAGCCCAAAGGUCAGGCUGCAACAAAAGUGCUUACCUUGAAUGAUUUAGCUAUGAUAUGAGUUUACUCUGUAACAUAAGUAGCAUGGUUGGGCAGUGUUCAAGAACCUGGCUGUAUAAUGAAGAAAGGAGAAAAGACAGAAUUUAGCCCAAAUGUGAUGAAAGCCAAUUGACAUGAAGACAAUCAUCACGUUCAUCUUGGUCCAGUAAGAAUUUGAUAUUCACUCUGAUAGGAGAUUUGCAAUAUGACUCCAGUUAAGGUGGCAAUUUGAAACUCUCCUGCUUUGACUUCUGGAACUUGCUUCUGCCAAAUCAGUGGUGACUUUCAGGUAUAGGCCUAUGGCUGGAAACUAAAAUCAGAAGACUCCAACCUCCAGCUCUGAGAACCUACACUGAUAGCUCCAUCCAACUUCAACCACAAGUAGUGGGUCCAAAUCACAACACUCCAAUGAUGGAUUACACUGUCUCUGUCUUUUGCAGCACUUUGUUCAAAGAUAAAAGAUUCUCUGCAGUGGUGAUGAGGGCUAGUUCACUCAGCCCUUAGAUGCAGAUUCUGAGAGAUAGAGUACACAUAACUUUUAGAUAACAGGUGCUUUUAAAGAAAAUUUGAUUCUUUGAAAUUAAGUUAAGGUUUGUUUUAUAUAAUUUGCAGUCAAUUUUCAUAAAUCUCAUGUGUGUUUCAAAGAAAUGAGUAUUCUCUAUUUGUUGCCUUUAGGAAUCUAUGUAUCUUCAUUAUAUCAUGACUGUUAAUUGUUUUUCACAUGUUCUAUACCCUUCCUAAUGCUUUGUCUGCUUGAUCUAUCAAUUACCAGAAUAGGUAUUGCAGUCUGCCCCUCUGAAUUCAUAUCACAUGCAUAUAAAUUUUAAGUUACUAAACUUCCCUCCGUGAAAUCAAGCUCUUAUCAUUGUGUAGUUACCUUCUUUAUCUUGAAUAAUUAUUCUAAUUUAAGGUCGAUUUUCCCUGAUAAUAAUAUAAGUAAACCAACUUUCUUUUGGUUAGCAUUUGCCUGAUUUAUCUUAGUCCAUCUUUUUACUUUCUAUUUUCCUGUAACUUUCCUUAUAUUCCUUAGGUAUUCUGACCACGUGUGUCUUUUGGCUAAUGAAUUUAUUCCAUUUAUAAUUUAUUUAUGUUUCUUUAUAUGCAUUUAUAUGUAUAUAUAAUAUAUAUGUAUUUCUUCCAUAUAGUUAUUUACUUUUUGUUACUUUUUAUAUUCUGCUUUUGUUCUUUCAACUGUUUUUGUUUUUG
This 4066-nucleotide long non-coding RNA is filed under the name Homo sapiens (human). RNAcentral describes it as "HSALNT0051926". The record is from RNAcentral. Lineage: Eukaryota; Metazoa; Chordata; Mammalia; Primates; Hominidae.